GACAGAGGGUGCAAACGUUGUUCGGAAUUACUGGGCGUAAAGCGCGUGUAGGCGGCAAUGCAAGUCGGAUGUGAAAGCCCCGGGCUCAACCUGGGAACUGCAUCCAAAACUGGCAAGCUAGAGUAGGGCAGAGGGUGGUGGAAUUUCCUGUGUAGCGGUGAAAUGCGUAGAUAUAGGAAGGAACACCAGUGGCGAAGGCGACCACCUGGGCUCAUACUGACACUGAGGUGCGAAAGCGUGGGGAG
This 245-nucleotide ribosomal RNA is filed under the name uncultured prokaryote. Its description in RNAcentral is "partial 16S ribosomal RNA". It matches the Rfam family "Bacterial small subunit ribosomal RNA", at positions 524 to 768 of the family's 1533-position model. The record is from RNAcentral.